Molecule: long non-coding RNA, 497 nt
Organism: Schistocerca gregaria
Lineage: Eukaryota; Metazoa; Arthropoda; Insecta; Orthoptera; Acrididae
Exons: 2
Source: RefSeq, a predicted model, not a curated record
UCGUGUUAUCGUCUCAGGCAAUGAUGAGAAAGGCACGUCUACUUGUGUCAUUUCAUAUUUCUUCUGCGUUAUGAAGCACUGCAGGUCGUGCUGUUUACUGAAAAGUAUAUUAACAGACUAAACAAAUUUACGGCAAGAGGAGAAUGGCUUCCGGCAAGUGCCACCAGAUACAUCGCUUUCUGCGGGCCUGGCGCGUACUGAAAAAAAAAGGCGCCAAAACUCAAGUGACCUGCAAGGAAGUGGCAUCUCACCACCGAGAACACGCAGGACGCAGCGUACCACCUUCGAGGAUCGGAUACAUUUGGUAACUAUAGGGUAAAUCUAUCUGAGUGGUAUGAAUGCCUUGCUGCCGACAUAGCUUCCAUUCCUCUCUAGUUAACUUUGUUGUGGUCGCAUCACAGUAUCAAUUAACUAGUGGAAACAGAAAACGGAACGGUUAUAAAAGCAAAUCACUUACCACUGAUGUAAUACAAUAAACCUUUCGUCAUUGCAUUUCA